This 459-nucleotide ribosomal RNA is filed under the name uncultured bacterium. RNAcentral describes it as "bacterial SSU rRNA". It matches the Rfam family "Bacterial small subunit ribosomal RNA", at positions 340 to 786 of the family's 1533-position model. The record is from RNAcentral.
UACGGAAGGCAGCAGUGGGGAAUAUUGCACAAUGGGCGAAAGCCUGAUGCGGCUAUGCCGCGUGUAUGAAGAAGGCCUUAGGGUUGUAAAGUACUUUCAUCGGGGAGGAAAAAACAAAACUAAUAAUUUUAUUUCUUGACGUUACCCGAAAAAGAAGCACCGGCUAACUCCGUGCCAGCAGCCGCGGUAAUACGGAGGGUGCUAGCGUUAAUCAGAAUUACUGGGCGUAAAGAGCACGUAGGUGGUUUUUUUAAAGUCAGAUGUGAAAUCCCUGGGCUUAACCUAGGAACUGCAUUUUGAAACUGAAAUACUAGAGUAUCGUAGAGGGAGGUAGAAUUCUAGGUGUAGCGGUGAAAUGCGUAGAUAUCUGGAGGAAUACCUGUGGCGAAAGCGGCCUCCUAAACGAAUACUGACACUGAGGGUGCGAAAGCGUGGGGAGCAAACGAGGGAUUAGAUACC